UACAGGGGAUGCAAGCGUUAUCCGGAAUUAUUGGGCGUAAAGGGUCCUGAGGUGGCUAUCCAAGUCUAUUGUGAAAUAUCAGGGCUUAACCCUGAACAUGCGGUGGAAACUAGAAAGCUUGAGUACAGUAGGGGCGGAGGGAAUUUCCGGUGGAGCGGUGAAAUGCAUAGAGAUCAGGAAGAACACCGGUGGCGAAAGCGCUCUGCUAGGCCGCAACUGACACUCAUGGACGAAAGCUAGGGGAGCGAAUGGG
RNAcentral lists this ribosomal RNA (253 nucleotides) under uncultured bacterium. Its description in RNAcentral is "partial 16S ribosomal RNA". It matches the Rfam family "Bacterial small subunit ribosomal RNA", at positions 524 to 776 of the family's 1533-position model. The record is from RNAcentral.